This is a long non-coding RNA of Amblyraja radiata (thorny skate), 110 nucleotides long. RefSeq lists it as uncharacterized. The transcript has 3 exons. Lineage: Eukaryota; Metazoa; Chordata; Chondrichthyes; Rajiformes; Rajidae. The record is from RefSeq and is a predicted model, not a curated record.
CUGGUUUAUUGUCGUGUGUCCCAGAUACAACACUUACAUUCUUACUUGCAGCAGCUCAACAGAAUAUGUAAACUUAAUACACUGUAAACUAUGGUAGUAAAGAACAUCAA